RNAcentral lists this ribosomal RNA (273 nucleotides) under uncultured bacterium. RNAcentral's name for it is "partial 16S ribosomal RNA". It matches the Rfam family "Bacterial small subunit ribosomal RNA", at positions 524 to 796 of the family's 1533-position model. The record is from RNAcentral.
GACAGAGGGUGCAAACGUUGCUCGGAAUUACUGGGCGUAAAGGGCGUGUAGGCGGGAAGGUAAGUCGGGCGUGAAAUCCCCAAGCUCAACUUGGGAACUGCACUCGAAACUACCUUUCUUGAGUGCCGGAGAGGAAAGCGGAAUUCCUGGUGUAGAGGUGAAAUUCGUAGAUAUCAGGAGGAACACCAGUGGCGAAGGCGGCUUUCUGGACGGUGACUGACGCUGAGACGCGAAAGCGUGGGGAGCAAACAGGAUUAGAUACCCCAGUAGUCC